GAGAAUACCAACGCAUUUCACAUACAGCAGCCAUCCCAUUUAAAUGACGCACUAUCACUACCAAACUGGCCCGAUUUCAACCAGUAUGCUAGCAACGAAGGGCACUGUAGCGCAUUUCCAGGCUUCUGAGGAUCCCAAACCCCAGCAUCACUAACCUUACCUCUGGAUUCAACUGGUAAUAAAGCCCUAUGUGCUUAAAAGUCAGUCACAAAGAGCAAAAUGUGAAUUUUGCUAUUUCAGGGUUCAGCUCUUAGCGAUACUUUGGAAAUAACUCCAGAGGCAAGGAGAGAUAUUGCAAACUGAUUUUUCUGGAGGAUGUUCUUUCUGGGUGAAACCCACUCCUCCUGCCCAGAGUUUGAAUCCCCUCCAGUCAUUGCAGAAAAGCAGCCUUUUAGACUUUCCUGCAGUUGAAGGGCCUAAGGACAAUACUGUUUAAAGAAUGGUUCUCCUACACCAAACCAUGCUAUAGUUCACACCAGUGCAAAUCAGUACACAACAGAUCUAGGGUACACGCCGUGUUACACCUGGCAUCCAAGUCAAUCCAUGGACAGAAAGGCUUAGAAAUCUAUAAGCCAAUGGUAAAUAUUUAACAAGGGAAACUCCCCUUCCUUUCUGCUCUCCUCACACAUACAGAAACUCCCCUUCCUUUCUGCUCUCCUCACACAUACAGCACAUUAGGCUGAUUGCCCUAUUUUAAAGCAAAAAUAUGUAUUCCCAUAGGACCCCCUUCCUCCUCCAACAGGAUCCGCUUCCUCCCACCGCUCUGAUUUGCCAUAACAACCCGACUCCUGCCCAGAGCCCUUGGGAAAACAGUAUCUAUCUGUGUGUGUUGGCUAAUCAGAUUGGGUCCAUGCCUGUUUUAAGACAAGUCCCAUCCAUCUACCCUGCUAUCUGAAACGUGCCAAGCAAUGCCCCACACAGUUUGCUGUGAGGGAGAACAUUGCAGCAUGAGACACCAAACAAAAGUUGUGGCAUGCAGGAUCUAUUGGGAAAUGUCACUUGGCAAUACUUCAUGUGCCCAGCCUCCCGCCAAGGGACGGGAAUUGUAUCCAUGCCAGGAAAUUAGGCAUUCAGCAAGGAGGCAAAGCAGCAGAAGCGGCGGCUGCAGGAGCAGAAGGGAUCCAUCAAACCCUAGAGACACGCUUGUUCUCUUCCCCCCGUGCACCACGACAAAUAGUAUGAGGGGAAGAAAUAGAGAAGCGGAGGAAUGGCCCAAACCAGCACUGCACAGCACAUCUACAGAGGAUGUUCGGCACCAACAGGAAAUGGCCUGGAUGAGUGGAGGGGCUAUUGAUUUUCCAUUAAACACCAUGUACUGCUGCAAAAGGAAGAAAAGAUUUGUUUAGCUGAGUAACCCGUCUCACACUACGAUGAAGCCAAUGUCUGAAACCCAGACAAACAGGAUAUGGAUGAUCCAGAUCUGCAUACGGGAGAUCCA
Molecule: long non-coding RNA, 1438 nt
Filed under: Chrysemys picta bellii (western painted turtle)
Lineage: Eukaryota; Metazoa; Chordata; Testudines; Emydidae
Description: lncRNA (ENSCPBG00000014765.1)
Source: RNAcentral